UAUCAGGAUCUAACCAAAUC
RNAcentral lists this microRNA (20 nucleotides) under Marchantia polymorpha subsp. ruderalis. Lineage: Eukaryota; Viridiplantae; Streptophyta; Marchantiopsida; Marchantiales; Marchantiaceae. The record is from RNAcentral.